Molecule: ribosomal RNA, 253 nt
Filed under: uncultured bacterium
Lineage: Bacteria
Description: partial 16S ribosomal RNA
Rfam family: Bacterial small subunit ribosomal RNA
Source: RNAcentral
UACGUAGGGGGCGAGCGUUAUCCGGAUUCACUGGGUGUAAAGGGAGUGUAGACGGCCAUGCAAGCCAGGGGUGAAAGCCCGGGGCCCAACCCCGGGACUGCCCUUGGAACUGCAUGGCUGGAGUGCGGGAGGGGCAGGCGGAAUUCCUGGUGUAGCGGUGAAAUGCGUAGAUAUCAGGAGGAACACCGGCGGCGAAGGCGGCCUGCUGGACCGCGACUGACGUUGAGGCUCGAAAGCGUGGGGAGCGAACAGG